CCUACGGGUGGCAGCAGUGGGGAAUAUUGCACAAUGGGGGAAACCCUGAUGCAGCGACGCCGCGUGAGUGAAGAAGUAUUUCGGUACGUAAAGCUCUAUCAGCAGGGAAGAAAAUGACGGUACCUGACUAAGAAUCUCCGGCUAACUACGUUCCAGCAUCCGCGGUAAUACGGAGGGGGCAAGCGUUAUCCGGAUUUACUGGGUGUAAAGGGAGCGGAGACGGCAGCGCAGGUCUGGAGUGAAAUCCCAUGGCUUAACCAUGGAACUGCUUUGGAAACUGGGCAGCUGGAGUGCAGGAGAGGUAAGCGGAAUUCCUGGUGUAGCGGUGAAAUGCGUAGAUAUUAGGCGGAACCCCAGUGGCGAAGGCGGCUUACUGGACUGUAACUGACGUUGAGGCUCGAAAGCGUGGGGAGCGAACAGGAUUAGAUACCCCUGUAGUC
This 440-nucleotide ribosomal RNA is filed under the name uncultured bacterium. RNAcentral describes it as "partial 16S ribosomal RNA". It matches the Rfam family "Bacterial small subunit ribosomal RNA", at positions 338 to 795 of the family's 1533-position model. The record is from RNAcentral.